UACGGGGGAGCAAGCGUUGUUCGGAUUUACUGGGCGUAAAGGGCGCGUAGGCGGCCACCGCAAGUCGACUGUGAAAUCUCCGGGCUUAACCCGGAAAGGUCAGCCGAUACUGCGGGCUAGAGUGCAGAAGGGCAACUGGAAUUCUCGGUGUAGCGGUGAAAUGCGUAGAUAUCGAGAGGAACACCUGCGGCGAAGGCGGGAUGCUGGGCUGAAGCACGUUGACGCUGAGGCGCGAAAGCUAGGGAGCGAACGGG
Molecule: ribosomal RNA, 254 nt
Filed under: uncultured bacterium
Lineage: Bacteria
Description: partial 16S ribosomal RNA
Rfam family: Bacterial small subunit ribosomal RNA
Source: RNAcentral